This 7284-nucleotide long non-coding RNA is filed under the name Capsella rubella. RNAcentral's name for it is "long non-coding RNA (CRUB_LNC000270)". The record is from RNAcentral. Lineage: Eukaryota; Viridiplantae; Streptophyta; Magnoliopsida; Brassicales; Brassicaceae.
AAGGAGAGGAAUACUAAGAACCAUGUUUCUAAAAACUUUGGACUUUGUGUGCGUUUUCUAUUAUCUCGUGUUGUGUGACUGGGCUCCAAACUCUUUACCUUUUGGGCUUGUAUUGCUUUCUUUUGAACGUUUUGCUUUUGAUUUCAUAUUGAAUAUCCUAUGCUUAGGGUAUUUGAGUAUAUCUUGGUCGUUGUUGGUAAGGCUAUAUAUAAAGCCUAGGUUCUCUUCUUCUCUAUCUUUACGACCAAUCCACAUAGCUUACUUACUUUUGUGGUCCUGAAGAUGAUAAUCACUGUCAGGUUAUACCUCUCCCUGGUCUAAACAUUAAGCAUGCUCAGAGAUGUCUGACUACUUCAGAAUUCAGAUGGAGAUAUAAUCUACAGUGUUUGACAAAAAAAAAAAAUUGAUUAAUAAUGAUUUAUGAGUCCAAUAAAGUUGAUAAUGAAAACAGCUAGUUAUUUGCGUCCAACCAUCUCUAAAAAGAAAGAAAGAAAGAAAGAAAGAAAGAGAGAGUGACCAAAUGAGACUUUAAUCUUAUAGACGACGAGAAGAAUGGAGGAGACAGGAGGAAGAAGAACAAUCCCAGAGGUUGAGAUACUUGCCAGACUACCGUUGAGAAGCAUCGCCAGAUUCAAAUCUGUCUGCAAAAGAUGGAACUCUGUUAUAGAAUCCGAUUACUUCCACCGUCUCUUCGUCUCCCUGCACCGACACUCCUCUUCCUCAUGGUCGCUCAUGUUCAGAACCAAGUAUCUCCAUCCCAUGACACAACCCAUCGGCUUCCACGGAUGCGAUACAUGGGAUCUUCCCAAAUCACUUGUUUCUUAUAUCAUUCCGUUUCAACCGUAUCCCACUCUCCCUACCUCUGAAUACUACUUUGUAGCUUCUUCCAAUGGAUUGACCUGGAUCGAUGUCUUUCUUUCCCGUAAUUACAACAAUGUUUACAGUUACAAAUCUUUCGUUGGUAAUCCAGUUUUACAACAAUGGGUUGAGAUCCCUCCAGCUCCUGAUCCAUGGGUUCGAAAUCCAGACCCUUGGUAUCCCAGUCCAUUCUCUGCCGUUGGUAUGGUGACUCGUCUUGACAACGGCGUCGUUUCCAGCUUCAAAAUGGUUAGGACGAUCGAAAUGGGUAUGGUUGAUCGUUACGUUGACGGAUUGUAUCUAUGGAGAGUUUGUGUGUAUUCCUCUGAGACUGGUUUAUGGAAUAUCAAGAAACUUUACUCCCCACGAGCCGUUGGUAACUUUGGUUUUGAUUCUCUCCACGGGAUUCUUUAUAUGUGGGAUAGGUUUAUGUAUUCUAAUGGACCUGGUGUCCUUAUUGCUCAUGACUUUUAUGGCCCUGAUGCUGAUGAUCAAUGUCAGAUUAUUCCUCUCCCUGGCGUGGAUCACAAAAAAGCUCGGAGGGGCUUGACUACUUCAGGAGAAGAUGUUAUCUUCGUUGAAGCUAUACAUCGAAGAUUGAGUGUAUGGAGGCUGCUGAAUGACGAAGAAUAUAUCAGCGAAAGGUGGCAACUCAUUCGGGAAAUCAACAUGCCCUCUUUUGUAUCUGAUGUCAACUGUUUCCCCUUGGCAAUGAAUCCGUUUGAUGCUGAUAUCGUCUACCUGUGGUUACGUCAAGACCGUUGUUUGGCAUCAGGUAACUUGCAGACACAAGAGUUUAUUGUUCAUCAAGAAUCAGAUGAUUCGAGUAGUAGUGAAGUUGAUUGUUGUUGUCGCGUUAAUGCUUCCGAUACUGUGGAGUACUUGGAAGAGUUUCGCAAUGGAGUCUUUAUGUUAUUCCAGUUUGUGCUCCCUCGUUGGAUGGACUCUGUACCCCCAACCACCAAACUGAUUUUCCUUUUUAGGGGAUUCCUAACUUUUCAAUUUGCUUAUUACUGAAGCUUUCUCUUUGGUGUUUAUUAUGUAACUUUGUUUAUGAUGAGGCCAUAUUUGCUAUCUAUCUAUCAGAGUCAUGUCAGCUCUGCUCUUCUCUGAUUACUUAGUACUCUGAAAUUUUAAUUUGCAGUAGCAAUCUAUUUUCCAAUUCAUGGAUAGCAUAUAAUUUUUUUCGGCAGGGCUUAAUAAUCAUAGUGUAAGGAAACAAAAAUAUAUCAGAGGUCGUAAAUCGAAGCUUUUCUUGGCUAUAUAAUAUUCAAGAUCCUUUUUGUUUUUAUCAAUCAAAUCUAGAAACCUCACAUAGCGCAAAACACUCAGAAGUCAGAACACAAGACAAGGCAACAAAAAACUAAAGCCUUAUAAGCUUUUAGACUGUCUCUUGAGAGUCAGACCACAUUACUAGAGUUGCAAGAAGAGCGAUGGUUGCGGUCUCAACUCGCAACCGGUGCGGUCCUAGUCCAACCGCUGUGCCCCCUGCUUCCAACAUCAUCUCAACCUCUUUCUUCGUGAAGUCUGCACUCAUUUCAUUCUUGACAUUAGAUUGUACCAGUCUACUCUUGUGUAGUUGAGACAAGUCAUAAAACAAGAACACUAGAUACUGUUCAUCGUGUGUAAACUCAAGCACUAACCAGUGAUUUCAAAAGAAAAUGAUAGCUUCCGCAGAAACUUUACUACAGACAACCAUAUCUAAAAUGUAUUGGAGAAAGGGUUUCUUACCGCCUUCUGGUCCAACGAUUAAUACUCCACUGGUUUCUUUUGUUGACGACUUUACUGCAUUAAGGAGAGGUGUAGCUUCGGCUGUAGCAACCAAACAUAACUUCGACUUGGAAAUCUAGAAAUUAUCAAAAGGUGUAUUAUGGCAAGUUUAGAAACCAGGAAUCUUAGAGUGUGCUUAAAGAGAUGUUGAAACAUACAUGAUCCAAGAGGGUAUCAAAUUUGAUUGGAGGGUUCAGUAUCAUUUGAUGUAGCCUUUGGCCUGUGUUAGUAAAUGAUAAGGCAAAUAGUUUGUGAUCAUACCAAGAAAAAGACGAGCAAGAUUAAUAAAUCACACAUCAGUAUGUUACCUUAUACUAUUGUUACUUACAUUGCUUAGCCGCAGCAAAACUAACGCGCUCCAAUCUGUCAACCCGGUUUUCAGAGAUUAUGGAAGAUCUUUCUGUUAAAAGUGGGGUGACACCACUCGCUCCAAGUUCCUGAUAUAAGAAUAUACACAUAUUCAGUGGCAUGAUAUUCAUCGGUGACUAAGACCCGACAUACUAGAAGUAAAUACUUACUGUACAUUUCUCAAUUAACCAGUCUGCUCGACCACCCUUCAGAGUGCCUAAAACACAUAUAUUUAAUAAUAUCAUGAACCGAGCUAUGCCAAGAAUUAAAUAGUCUGGCAACAUCGUAAAAUUACGAGCAGUCCCAUUUCAUACCAAAAGCGGCAAACACCUGCCACUGCAUGCCCUGAGGAAGAAUCACCUUCUGAUCUUCUUGUGCGAUAAAAUCAACUCCAUUUUUGUCUAUGCUUUGUAUACAACCUUCUACCAGACCUCCUUUGCCAUUAAAGAGUUCUACCCUUGCAUAGAAAAAGGGUGCACGUAAUUACUUUACAUUUACUAAAUUCUAAUGGUAAUUGGUAAGUGAUCUUAAAAGCAAAGAAUAUGUUAUCCUAAUCUUAUCUUCAAAAUACUUUGGAGAUAUCAUAACAAUAACCACUGAAUUCAUCAUGGCAAAGAUGAUGCAUAAAAAGGUUAACAAGAUCUUGAUAAAAGGACGGCUCUUUGGUUUACUAUCCAUAUACAUACACACACAAUUUAGAUGGAAGAAAACUUCUAUCUACAUGGAUGCAAGCAAACAAAAUAUGAACAAACUCAACUUUUUUAAGGGCUUUCAUGAAUGCAACACUCCGAAAUGCUAAUAAAAUACAUGAAUGUGUGUUAAUAUUACCUAUCUUCGGGUUUCAGUCUUAGAACUUUAGCCAUAUGCCAAAACUCAGAGCCUUGAACACGAACACUCCCACCCUAUAAUAAUCAUAAUGAUUUACACAACGGAGAAGCUUAAUAUAACCGCUUCACGCAAAAAUAAGUGGCAAGAACAUAACAUAACCAAUACGGUGGUACCAAAAUCACCUCCACUACAAAGCAUCAUCUUAUAAAAUUACAGUGAAUUAGCAGAAAAUUCUCAAGUACUCAGUGAUUACUCUAUGAUCUUUAUUGAGUUCUCACACAGAUUCAAAUGAAACAACAAGUAAAUGAGAGAGAGUGAGUGUGUAUGCCUUGCAAGAUGGAAGAUCAUCUGAGAAGAAUCGAGGAAGGCCACCACGAGAUUGAUUCCGGAGGUCCGAAUCCGACGAAGGAGGCGAAGAUACAGAAGCAAACGUCCUGAAGCUGGAAGGUGGAAGCCAUAAACGAACAAUACUCGGCAAAUCGGAAAACAGUGGCCGUGCAGCCGCUAGGGAUCUCAUUAUUCAAUCAAAGCUUCGGAGAUUUUUGGUUCCCCAGCCGAAGGAUUUUUGGUUCAGUUCUUAUCGUUUCGGUUUACUAUAGUAAUCAUUAUGACCCGGUUAAAGUCCAAUGGAAUGUCCGGUUAAGUUCCCGCAAUUCAAGGGAUAUUGUUUUUUUCAAAAAUAAAAAAGAAACGGUCGUAAAGCGAUUGCCCAACGAGCAAAAUUCAAAAUUAGAAAACACGCAGCUCACGAAGAUAUCAACAGGUCGUGGGUAGAAAACAACCCAAUUACAUCAUUACACGUGUCGUAUACGUGCCGUUACAUACAGAUGGAUACUUUCGCUUAUAAAUACACAGCAUCGACCAACUUGGUAAAACCUAGAAAGCGGAAAAAUCAGAUCCAGUUUUUUUAAUUCAUCUAAAGAAGAGCGUCUUCAUAAACGCCCUUCUUCUUCUUCUUCUUCUUCCCUGUAAACCUAGGUUCUAGAUCUUUUCUUCCCCGAAACGAAAAUGAGAGAGUGCAUCUCGAUCCACAUUGGUCAGGCCGGUAUCCAGGUCGGAAAUGCUUGCUGGGAGCUUUACUGCCUCGAACAUGGCAUUCAGGUUCGUCUCUUCUUCUUCUUCAUCCUUUAUUCCAACUAGAUCUGUGGUUUUCGCUAUUUUUCUCGUUGUCUGUUGAUCAGAUCUGAGAUAUUUGGUCCUGCAUUUCCCUUAGUUCUUAGGGUUUCUGAAUUAAAUGGCAGAUCUAUAGUACCAACUGCUCAGAUCUGUUUUUGGUUUAGAUCUCUUGGAAAAUUUGGUAUCGUUGAUGUGAGAUCCGUUUCUUGUUUCGAAAAAUAUUCGAUGAAAAAUGAAAACUCUUGUAGGUUUGCGUACAAAUGUUACCGGUUUAGAUCUGUGUUUGAUUGCGACGACCUGUUAAUUGAUUUGGUUGAUACGAGAUCCGAUUCUUUUGUUCUCAGAUUCGUUUUGAUUUUCUGUUUUUAUCGUUAUUUCUAUCAGAUCUUUGGAUCCACUUCGUUUUGUAUAUCCAUUGUGUUGAUGUGGUGUUCUGUAUUUGGAUGUUACAGCCUGAUGGUCAGAUGCCGAGUGACAAGACUGUUGGCGGAGGUGACGAUGCUUUCAACACCUUCUUCAGUGAAACCGGUGCUGGGAAGCACGUCCCACGUGCGGUCUUUGUUGAUCUUGAGCCAACUGUGAUCGAUGAGGUCAGAACUGGUACUUACCGUCAGCUUUUCCACCCUGAGCAACUCAUCAGCGGUAAAGAAGACGCAGCUAACAACUUCGCCCGUGGGCAUUACACCAGUAAGAUACUCAUCCCUGUACAAAUAUCCUUCCAACAACCAUAUAUUGUUGAUUCUAUUGUGUAUUAACUGGUUUGAUUUUUGACUUAUCUCAGUUGGGAAAGAGAUUGUUGAUCUGUGCUUGGACCGUAUCAGAAAGCUCGCUGAUAACUGUACUGGUCUCCAAGGAUUCCUUGUCUUCAACGCUGUUGGUGGAGGGACUGGAUCUGGUCUUGGAUCUCUCCUCCUUGAGAGACUUUCUGUUGACUAUGGCAAAAAGUCCAAGUUGGGAUUCACAGUUUACCCAUCUCCUCAGGUCUCUACCUCUGUUGUUGAGCCUUACAACAGUGUCCUCUCCACUCACUCCCUCUUGGAACACACUGAUGUCUCAAUCCUCCUCGACAAUGAAGCUAUCUAUGACAUCUGCAGACGCUCCUUGAGCAUUGAGAGACCAACCUACACCAACCUCAACCGUCUUGUCUCUCAGGUAUAGAACCAGCCAGCAACAAUUAACCCUUUAAACGCUUACCUUGCUGCUGUUUUGUGUCUAAUGUUCACUCUCUUUUUUUGGAUUUAGGUUAUCUCUUCCUUGACUGCUUCUCUGAGGUUCGAUGGUGCCUUGAAUGUUGAUGUCACUGAAUUCCAAACUAACUUGGUCCCAUACCCAAGAAUCCAUUUCAUGCUUUCCUCCUACGCACCAGUCAUUUCUGCAGAGAAAGCCUUCCACGAGCAACUCUCAGUUGCUGAGAUCACAAACAGUGCUUUUGAGCCAGCUUCCAUGAUGGCCAAGUGUGACCCACGUCAUGGAAAGUACAUGGCUUGCUGUUUGAUGUACCGUGGUGAUGUUGUCCCCAAGGACGUGAACGCAGCAGUUGGCACCAUCAAGACCAAGCGCACGAUCCAGUUUGUGGAUUGGUGUCCUACUGGAUUCAAGUGUGGUAUCAACUACCAGCCACCAACAGUGGUUCCAGGAGGUGAUCUUGCAAAAGUGCAGAGAGCUGUUUGUAUGAUCUCCAACUCCACGAGUGUUGCUGAGGUGUUCUCCCGUAUUGAUCACAAGUUUGAUCUUAUGUACGCGAAACGUGCUUUCGUCCACUGGUAUGUGGGUGAGGGUAUGGAAGAAGGAGAAUUCUCAGAGGCUCGUGAGGAUCUUGCUGCGUUGGAGAAGGAUUAUGAAGAGGUCGGUGCUGAAGGUGGUGACGAUGAGGAUGAUGAAGGAGAGGAAUACUAAGAACCAUGUUUCUAAAAACUUUGGACUUUGUGUGCGUUUUCUAUUAUCUCGUGUUGUGUGACUGGGCUCCAAACUCUUUACCUUUUGGGCUUGUAUUGCUUUCUUUUGAACGUUUUGCUUUUGAUUUCAUAUUGAAUAUCCUAUGCUUAGGGUAUUUGAGUAUAUCUUGGUCGUUGUUGGUAAGGCUAUAUAUAAAGCCUAGGUUCUCUUCUUCUCUAUCUUUACGACCAAUCCACAUAGCUUACUUACUUUUGUGGUCCUGAAGAUGAUAAUCACUGUCAGGUUAUACCUCUCCCUGGUCUAAACAUUAAGCAUGCUCAGAGAUGUCUGACUACUUCAGAAUUCAGAUGGAGAUAUAAUCUACAGUGUUUGACAAAAAAAAAAAAUUGAUUAAUAAUGAUUUAUGAGUCCAAUAAAGUUGAUAAUGAAAACAGCUAGUUAUUUGCGUCCAACCAUCUCUAAAAAGAA